AGCGAACGCUGGCGGCAGGCCUAACACAUGCAAGUCGAACGGUCAUUCGGGAUAGUGGCGGACGGGUGAGUAACACGUGGGAACGUGCCUUUUGGUUCGGAACAACUUGGGGAAACUUAAGCUAAUACCGGAUGUGCCCUUAGGGGGAAAGAUUUAUCGCCAUUAGAGCGGCCCGCGUCUGAUUAGCUAGUUGGUGGGGUAAAGGCCUACCAAGGCGACGAUCAGUAGCUGGUCUGAGAGGAUGAUCAGCCACAUUGGGACUGAGACACGGCCCAAACUCAUGCGGGGGGCAGCAGUGGGGAAUCUUGCGCAAUGGGCGAAAGCCUGACGCAGCCAUGCCGCGUGAAUGAUGAAGGUCUUAGGAUUGUAAAAUUCUUUCACCGGGGACGAUAAUGACGGUACCCGGAGAAGAAGCCCCGGCUAACUUCGUGCCAGCCGCCGCCGUAA
This 447-nucleotide ribosomal RNA is filed under the name uncultured bacterium. RNAcentral's name for it is "partial 16S ribosomal RNA". It matches the Rfam family "Bacterial small subunit ribosomal RNA", at positions 29 to 523 of the family's 1533-position model. The record is from RNAcentral.